Long non-coding RNA from Mercurialis annua (annual mercury), 1884 nucleotides. RefSeq lists it as uncharacterized. The transcript has 4 exons. The record is from RefSeq and is a predicted model, not a curated record. NCBI's taxonomy places the organism in Eukaryota, Viridiplantae, Streptophyta, Magnoliopsida, Malpighiales, Euphorbiaceae.
AGCCAAAAUUGCCAAAAUAAAUUAUUGGAAAGUAAAGCUAUAAGAUAUGGAAUUAAAAUAAUUUAUUUGGAAAUAAAUAAUACGGAAUUUAUCGAGAAUCGAAUGAUUAAGUGAUUGAUGGACUAAAUCGGACAAAAUAAAAAUUAGAAAGUGAAGCAAAAGGAGGUGGCAACUUCAAGGACUAAAAGAGACUCUUUUCCCACUUAUUAUCAUCAAUUAAGAAUGAAUAUUCAUUCAUUCAAAACAGAAAUUUCAGCCAAAAUCCGUAACCCUCCUUCUCCAUUUCUCUCCAAAUUUCACAUGUCCAUAACUUUUUCGUUUCUCAACGAAAUUGAGCGAUUCUUGCGGCCACGGAACGAGAAAACGAUUAUCUACAGAUAUGUGGCAUUAAUUUGAGUGAGUUUUUAAGCUUGAAUUGGAUGCAAAAUGAUGAUGAAGCUAAGGUUUUCAAGGUAAGAUAAUCAAUUUUAGGUUUCAUGGAUAGUAUUCAUGGAUUGAUGAUAGUAAAGAUUAGGGUUUAUGAUGUGUAAUUGGGGUUUUUGUUUGAUUGUGUGUUGUAAGGUGAAAUUGAGCUUGAUUAAAGGGAUUUGAUGGUGAUUGUUCAUACUAGAACCAUUUGACAUAGAGGCAUCGUUCAAGACUCGAAGAAGCGACUAUCGAUAAGGCUCGAGGCGAACGGAUCGAGAUAUCUUCAAGCUUAUUUGAAGGAUUUGGAUAGCAAAUGGGAUGGUAUGAUAUGAUUUGAAGAGUUAAGCUUCCGAAGUUUUAAUUCUUGGAAGUCAUUUGUAUAAGAAGAAAAAGAAGGUUUUUAAUUCUAGCAGUCCGCAGUAGUCUAGAUAUUUUAACUAGAAUUUUGUAUAACGCGUUUUUAACUCUGAUAUUAUUUGUAAAUGGGGUCACAUGUAUUUUAAUAUAUGAAAUAUGUUUUGAUUUGCGAAAAAUUUACACAGGUUUUUAGGCUUGCUACGGGAUUUGGAGCUACCACUCCCAUUCCCUAGCGCCGGUCGCGGCUCAUAAAUUUGGGUCGUGACAAUACUGGUAUAAAUAUAUUCAAUUCUCAAGUCUUAAACCUACUUUUAGGUAUAUAAUUUUCAGUUUAAGCCUAAACAACUCUUCUUAAACUGAAAUUAAAGACAAAUUGUAUAAAUAAUCAUUUGUGCAAUUAAAAACUUAUAAAAAUAAAUUUAAAUAGAGGUAUAAUUUAGGACUUUGACUAUUGGAUCCAAUAUAAAACUGGAGUAGUUAAGUAUGAAUAUAUAUGCAUGCACCAUAUAUAAGUGUUUAUAUGUUAAGUUUAAAAAAAAACUAAUGUCGCUUUAUAUGUUUCACACGUGACUCGUAGUGUGACUCGUAGUGUGACUCGUCAAAUUAUUAAAUAUAAUUUAAAUUAAUAGUUAAUUUGGAAUCGGUUAUCUUACUAAAUACUUAAAAAAUUAAUUGGUACUCAAAUUUUACAAUUAUAGAGAAUUUUAAUAAAAGAUAUAAAGUAAAAAAUUUAAAUAGUUGUUCAUUGAAAUAGUUCAUAUUUAGAAUUUAUACGAUUAAAAAAUAAUUAAAAUAGUAAUCAUUAUAUAGUUAAAGUAGUCUAUUUUAACUAGUACUCUAACAAUUGUCUCAACAUUGUAGUUUAUUAACCAACGAGCUAUAGCUCAAAUGGUAUAAGCGCUCAGCAGAAAACUGCUAAGGUCGUGGGUUCAAUUCCUCACACAAGCGCUCCUUCUCCCCCAAUUAUCAAAACAAAAAAACUUGUAGUUUAUUUUAGUUAGUACUCUAACUUAUUUUAACAUAGUAGUUUAUUUUAGUUAGUACUCUAAUUUUAAUAAUUAUUUUAAUAGUUUUUAAUUAAUAAUAAUAAUUAAAUUAUAUAAGUGGAAAGUACAUUAA